Molecule: ribosomal RNA, 477 nt
Filed under: uncultured bacterium
Lineage: Bacteria
Description: partial 16S ribosomal RNA
Rfam family: Bacterial small subunit ribosomal RNA
Source: RNAcentral
GAUUAACGCUGGCGGCGUGCAUAACACAUGCAAGUCGAACGAUGAAACUUUAAUGAACCCUUCGGGGAGAAUUAAAGCGGAUUAGUGGCGAACGGGUGAGUAACGCGUGAGUAACCUGCCUUACACAAGGGGAUAGCCUUUGGAAACGAAGAAUAAUACCCUAUAAAACCAUAAAAGCACAUGCAAUUAUGGUCCAAGUGAUAGCGGUGUAAGAUGGACUUGCGUCUGAUUAGCUAGUUGGUGAGAUAAAAGCCCACCAAGGCAACGAUCAGUAGCCGGCUUGAGAGAGUGUACGGCCACAUUGGGACUGAGACACGGCCCAGACUCCUACGGGAGGCAGCAGUGGGGAAUUUUGCACAAUGGGGGAAACCCUGAUGCAGCGACGCCGCGUGAUUUAGAAGGCCUUCGGGUUGUAAAAAUCUUUUGUAUAGGAAGAAAAUGACAGUACUAUACGAAUAAGGUCCGGCUAAUUACGUG